GUCCAGCCUUUGCUUUCUGAGCUAUAAUCAUGCUGCUGAAAUUGCACCUUCUGAUAUAAGUGAGAAAAGGCAGCUCGCUCACCCUCCUGGCUGGAAGGUAAUCUAUGGAGAACAGAGCUCCUCCCUCUUGGCAAACUACACUGCCUUGCUGAUUUGUUGUGGUGCAUUGGUACACAGUUUGUGGUGAUGGAUUUGACAAAUGCUCUAUGGAGCCUUCCAAAUGAAACACAAGAGUCUACGUUUGCAGACGAGUUUAUAUGAUGAC
Molecule: long non-coding RNA, 265 nt
Organism: Cuculus canorus (common cuckoo)
Lineage: Eukaryota; Metazoa; Chordata; Aves; Cuculiformes; Cuculidae
Exons: 3
Source: RefSeq, a predicted model, not a curated record